This is a long non-coding RNA of Sapajus apella (tufted capuchin), 1912 nucleotides long. RefSeq lists it as uncharacterized. The transcript is spliced from 2 exons. The record is from RefSeq and is a predicted model, not a curated record. NCBI's taxonomy places the organism in Eukaryota, Metazoa, Chordata, Mammalia, Primates, Cebidae.
UUAGUUUAUAUAUUGUAUGGUCUGGGGAAUCUAAGCUUUUGAGUGAGAAAGUUUGGGAAGAAAUGCAUUUUAGAAAAAAUUCUUACAUAUUGAUUUACCUAAUGUUAUUUGUAAUUGCCAGAGCACCUCGGAAUUCUCAGAGCCCUCUUUUCUUCUAUAGUUCAGAAUAAAACCAUUCAAAUUAAAAAUAUAGUUUUGUAUAUCUGCCUGAGUGCAUUGCAAAGGAUUGUGUAGUUUGGUCAUAUAUGGAGGAGAUGGUAGAGCUGACAGUCAAAAGAGACCGAGUUUCUCAUCGUUAACUUGUGCAAAGUUGAGUAAGUCAAUGAAGUCUUAAGUAAUAACUGCAGAAUUAAAUUGGGAAAGACUGUAGCCUCAAGAUUUAAGAAACAAAUCAUCAGUCUUACAGAUAACUUCAAGACUAUACUGAUUAUUCACUGGCUACUAGAUAGGUAUAUUUUAAAGCCAAGAAUCAGAAAUUUAAAAAAUUAAAGAAUCAGUGCUGUCAGCUAUAUUUUGGCAGGAAUUUUAAAGAGAUAUAUGUCAUUUUUUUCAUUAAAAAACUUAAGAUUAUAUGUAGCAGAAUUCACCUUUAUAGAGUACAUUUUGUGAAUUUUGACAAACAUACACUUGUGUAACUCCCACACAAUUAAAAUGCAGAGAGAGCAGUUCCAUCAAUACAAAAAAUUCCCUUGUCACUUUAUAGUCAGCCCCUUACUUGAUCCCAAGCUUUUGGCAACCAGUGGCAUGUUUUCUGUCUCCAUAGUUUUGUAUUUUCCAGAAUGUUGUGUAAAUGGAAUUGUAUAUCUUUAAUGAUAAAAGAUUUUGAGCAUCUUUUUUGCCAUCCUUAUAUCUUUGGUGAAAUAUUCUUCAAAUUAUUUUGUUGUUUUUUUGGCACUGAGUUUGGAGAUUCUGGAUGAAAGUUCUUUAUCAUAGAUGUGAUUUGCAAAUAUUUUCUCAUAGUUUAUGGCUUGUUUUUUAUUCUCUUACAUGUCUUUGAAGAGCAGAAGUUUGAAUGUUGAUGAAGUUGAGCUUAUUGAUUUUUACAUUAUUUUAUUUUAUGGAUCAUGCUUUUGAUGUUAUGUCUAAGAAAUUCUUUGCAAAACCAAAAAUCACAAAGAUUUUUUUCCAUAUUUACUUAUAGAAGUGUUAAAAUUGUAGGUUUACAUUUAGAUCUGUGAUUCAUUUUGUUAGGUUUUGUAUAUGGUAUGAGUUAUGGAUACAGUUUUUGUUGUUGCGAAUGAAUUUCCACUUAUUUCGGCACCAUUUUUUGGAAAAGCUCUCUUUCAUAGAAUUUCCUUUAUACCUUUCUUGAAAAUCAAUUGUUCAUAUAAGUGCGAGUCUGUUUCUGGACUCGUACUGCAUUUCAUUCAUCUAUGUAUUUACCCUUUCUCCAAUAUGACACUUGCCUGAUUAUUGUAGCUUUAUAGUAAACUUGAAGUCAGGUAGUGUGAGUUCUCCACCUUUGUCCCUUUUCAGAGUUAUUUUGGCGAUUCCAGUUCCUAUGCCUCUUCCUAUCCAUUUUAGAAUUACCUUCUCAUUUUCUGUAGGAAGUCCUUCUGGAUUGAUUCUGAUUUAAUUCUGAAGAUCAUUUUGGGGAGAAUUGACAUCUUAAAUAUUGAGGCAUCUCAUUUAUGACCUGUCUUUAGAUUUUUGAUGUCAUUUAUCAAUGUAUUUUAGUUUUCAGCAUAGAUUCUACACAUACUGUGUUAGAUUUAUGACUAAGCAUUUCAUGUUUUUGGGUGCUAAUGUAAAUGAUACUCCUCCAUUUUCAGUUUUUUUUUUUCACUGAUAGCAUAUAGAACUGCUUGUAUCCUUAUGACCUUGCUAAACUUACUUAGUUCCAGUAGCUUUGUUAUAGAUUCUAUGAGAUUUCUAUGCAGAAGAUUAUGUUGUCUACAGAUAAAGACAGUAU